UGGGCCAACCCCACUUGCCAACAGCUGCAACGAGCCCUGUGUCCGGCAGUGCCAGGACUCCCGUGUGGUGAUUGAACCAUCUCCCGUGGUUUUGGCCUCUCUGGCUUUGGUGGCCGCUACUAUGGCAGGAGGUGCCUGCCCUGCUAAAGCCCAUGAGGAAGUCCAGUGAGCACAUUGACCAGGAAGCUCGAAGCCAGUUGCCGAACUGAAGAUGGAGCUGCUGGCCAGAGUUUCCAGCCUGCGCUGUCUGGAAACAUGGCCAGCAGACAUCUUCUUCUUCUUCCACUUUCUUCUGUGCAUCAUGAGCCGUUGUUGUCUCCUGCUGUCCUAUGCCAUGGGUUCAUCUGGAAGCAAGUCAGAAGUGUCCUAUUUCUUCUGCCUCUCGCCAUGUGAGGGAGGAAGACAUGCAACCCAUUGUGUUGAAGGAGGGUCUGACUGGCAGCUGUCCUUGUGGCAGCAUGUACCGGAUUCUUUCCACCAUGUGCUGCUUUGAUUCCUUCUUCAGACUCAUUAAAGUUUACACUGCAUUGUAAUCUGUGUGUCGUCAUGUUCCUUUUCUUUAUGGAUGCCCAGUGAAGCUGUUCAGGGAGAAAUGUGAUGUCUUGGAGUGGAAAAGCAUGGGUGAAUAUGGCCCUAAUAUGGACCUCCUUCAUGUCUGGAGUAGUUAGCUAGCCUGAAGAAAGAUGGUCAUUAGUGGAGAUAUGGAGAGGUGGAAGGGUGUCUGGUGUUUUAAAGCUAAAAUGAGAGUGUCCAAUAUGUAACCCAAGAGAUUUGUCACCAACAUGGGAGGUUUGCUGCUGUCUUCCAAUUUAUGAGGCAAACCUUUCAAUUUCUGGAAGGUAUGUUUGUGAAGGCCAGUGCCCAACUGGAUGAAGCUCUGAUGUUAUAUUACAGCUCUAAAUAUUUUGUUCUGCCCAUCUCUCCCCAUGCAUAUCUGCCAAAGCCUCAGAUUUUAAAGAGCCCUGAAGAAGGUAAAGGGAGAAGUGGAAGCUAGGGCAGUCUAUUAGAGGAUGAUGUGAGCUCCUAUUUUUGGGUUUAAGUCCCUCCCUCCUCUGCUCUUUUUCUCUGUUGGCAAUCCCUUGCUCCAUGCCCUCCAGUCCUCACUGAGGUUGAGUAGGAAGCUUCUCUUUUGCUCUACCCUCUGGAGGACAAUAUAAUUUUGCACCAGAUGGGUAUAUUCUCUUAAAGACAGAAACCACCCAAAAGAUCCAUGCAUCUGUCCUUGAUGGGAG
RNAcentral lists this long non-coding RNA (1232 nucleotides) under Anas platyrhynchos platyrhynchos (common mallard). RNAcentral's name for it is "lncRNA (ENSAPLG00000019112.1)". The record is from RNAcentral. Lineage: Eukaryota; Metazoa; Chordata; Aves; Anseriformes; Anatidae.